RNAcentral lists this ribosomal RNA (395 nucleotides) under Massilia timonae. Its description in RNAcentral is "partial 16S ribosomal RNA". Lineage: Bacteria; Pseudomonadati; Pseudomonadota; Betaproteobacteria; Burkholderiales; Oxalobacteraceae. The record is from RNAcentral.
GGCGGUCUACUUCACGCGUUAGCUGCGUUACCAAGUUAAUUAAAACCCGACAACUAGUAGACAUCGUUUAGGGCGUGGGACUACCAGGGCUAUCUAAUCCUGUUUGCUCCCCACGCUUUCGUGCAUGGAGCGUCAGUCUUGGACCCAGGGGGCUGCCUUCGCCCAUCGGUGUUCCUCCACAUCUCUUACGCAUUUCACUGCUACACGUGGGAAUUCUACCCCCCUCUGCGCAGACUCCAACGCUUUGCAUUCUCCAACGUAAUUCCCCAGGUUGAGCCCGGGGAUUUCACGUGUAGCACUUAACAAAACCGCCUGCGCACGCUUUACGCCCAGUAAUUACGAUUCAACGCUUGCCACCUCUUACGUAUUACCGCGGCCUGCUGGUCACGUUAGUU